UGCGCCCGCAGGUCAUCCUACAGCGCAAAAUAGUGUGCCUUUUCCCUCGAAGGGUCGCAUCCCUUUAUGAUACAUUGCGUAUGCAUUUGCAUGGAGUCAAAAUUGAGCCCGCACUUGGAGAAAAUAAUUAUUAAAUUUUUGGAUUGAGUUUUUCACUUGUAACACAAGUUUUAAAUAAAAUUCGUCUAAAAAGAUAGAUCUCAUCAAUCGUUUUCCAAAUUCGAUUUGAGCGAGCGACUAGGACGACGGAUUCACUAUCCAUGUAGAGUUAGUAUUCCUUAUUAAAAACACUCCAAAUUUUCCUUCUCCCACCAAUGUGGGAGAAUUAGUGAACUUUCCAAUUUGUUAAUACACUUUCUAAUUUGGUGUCUCGCUUUUCCUUCACCAUUUUCCCUCCAUUUUUUAUUCAUAUAUACACCUUGAACCUAACAAUUCCCCACAAGAAUGAGGAAUGACUAUCUUUUUGAAGAAAUAUACAGACAAGCAUAUGAUCAUUUAGCAAAGACAGAUUGUAUCUAGAUAAGUAGGUUUUCCUUUGAACUUUCUGUAGUGAACAUGCAUCGAAUGCACUCGGUCAAUCGGUAGAUUUAAUAUCUUUGAACCGCCGAGCUUUGAUGUACACCUUGACAACACAUCUCACACAACCAACUUUUUACUAUUUAUGCUUCUCACUGUUUUGUUCUUUUCAGCCAUGAACAUUUUCCGAUUUUAUGAGAGCUUAGAGAAUAGGCCUUUACUAACAUUCUCCUUGAAGUGAGUUCCACUUUGCCCUCACAUAGGUGAUUUCUAAAUGUUCAAUCUAUAAAUUAAACUAACUAGUCAAAUCUUCCAAAUUUAGAUAAUUAUUAAAAAAAAUUUUACCUUGAGUCUUAUCCUUGUUUACUAAACACUGUCUACAUCAUGAGAAUGGGUUGGUAUAUUGAAAAUGUUGAACCUGCCAGACAGAACUUUGUUUGAUCUCCUUUAAUAUAGAUCUUGGGAUCUCUAGUCUACUAGGUAGAGUUACCACCAUGUUCACUUGUCCUAGGCCUUAAAUCCAUUCCCUUGGAUGUCCUCUCAACUCUUUCUUUAGAUAGGACUUUUGUAAGUGGAUCCGACACAUUAUCCUUUGACUUUACAUAGUCAACAGUGAUAAUUCCACUAGAGAGAAGUUCUCUGACGGUAUUAUGUCUCCAUCUUAUGUGACGAGAUUUACCGUUGUACGUCAUGCUCCUUGCCCUACCUAUAGAUGCUUGGCUAUCACAGUGUAUACAUACUGGUGCCACUGGUUUGGGCCAAUAAGGAAUAUCUUCUAAGAAAUUCUGGAGCCAUUCUGCUUCUUCAUCGACUUUAUCCAAAGCGAUAAAUUCAGAUCCCAUUGUGUAGCGAGCAAUACAUGUCUGUUUGGAUGAUAUCCAAGAGACCGUUUCUCCACCGAUAGUAAAUACAUAUCCACUUGUCGAUUUUACUUCGUUUGAUCCGGUGAUCCAAUUUGCACCACUAUAUCCUUCAAGUACCAUGGGAUAUUUAUUAAAAUGCAUGACACAGUCUUGAGUGUAUUUAAGAUACCCCAAAACUCUUUUCAUUUUCAUCCAAUGAGUUUCAUUGGGAUUACUCAUGUACCGACUCAACUGACUAAUAACGCAUGCUAUGUCUGGCCGUGUACAAUUCAUUAUAUACAUUAAACAUCCCAAUACUCUUGCGUACUUCAAUUGUGAGUCACUUUCACCUUCAUUCUUUCGAAGUGCAAAGUUCACGUCCAAUUGAGUCUUGGCACUACCAAAUUUCAUAUACUUGAAUUUGUCGAGUACCUUUUCGAUAUAAUGAGACUGUGACAAUGCCAACCCUUGUGGAGUUCUAUGGAUUCUUAUUCCUAAGAUCACAUCCGCAACUCCAAGGUCUUUCAUAUCGAACUUUCUCUUAAGCAUUCGUUUCGUUGCAUUUAUGUCUGAAAUAUCUCCACUGAUGAUCAACAUAUCAUCCACAUAUAAACAUAUAAUGACUUGGUGAUUUGGAGUGUCUUUAAUAUAUACACAUUUAUCACAUUCAUUAAUCUUGGACCUGUUUUCCUACAUAGUUUGGUCAAACUUUGCAUGUCAUUGUUUAGGUGCUUAUUUUAUUCCAUAAAGUGAUUUAAAAAGUUUACACACCUUAUUUUCUUUUCCUGGAACCACAAAACCCUCAAGCUGUCUCAUGUAAAUUUCUUCCUUCAAUUCUCCAUCCAGGAAUGCGAUUUUCACAUCCAUUUGAUGGACUUCAAGACCAUAUACCGCCACCAAGGCAAUUAACAUUUGAAUGUUAUCCUUGUUACUAUCGAGUAUGUAUCAAAGUAAUCAAGGACUUCUUUCUGUUUGAAGCCUUUUACUAUAAGUCUCGCCUUGUAUUUGUCAAUAUUACCAUCCACUUUCAUUUUCCUUUUGAAGAUUCAUUUAGAUCCUAAAGGUUUGUUUCCUAGAAGAAGAUCAACCAACUCCCGCGUAUGGUUGCUUAAGAUUAAAUUAAUUUCACUAUCGACUGCCUCUUUUCAAAAGGAUAAUUCCGAAGACGUCAUCGCUUCAAAUAUUUGAGGCUCAUUUUCUAAGAAAAAUAUUACAAAAUUCGAUCCAAACGAAAUUGAUCUUCUUUGAUGUGUACUACAUGUUGGAUUCUCAUUAUUAUGUACAUUCUCACUUGGUUCAUCUCGAGGUCGUUUAGACCCCCUCACUAGACUGUUCAUGUCUAGUUUUAUACUGAUAAAUAUUUUCAAAGAAUUCAGCGUUAUCUGAUUCAAUUACCGUAUUUUCAUUAAUAUUUGAAUGUUUGGAUUUAUGAACCAAAAAGGACAUGCUUUACUGCUUUUACCAUAUUCUAUGAACACGCAGUCCACUGUCUUAGGUCCUAUCUUAACCCUUUUAGGCAUAGAACUUGGAACUUUGCUAGAUACCCCCACACUUUGAAAUAUUUCAAGUUGGGUUUUCUUCUUUUCUAUUUUUCAUAAGGAAUUGAUUGUGUCUUACUGUGAGAAACUAUAUUGAGUAUUUGGUUGGCUGUAAGUAUAGCCUCCCCCUACAAGUUUUGUGAUAAACCUGAACUUAUAAGUAAGACAUUCAUCAUUUCCUUCAAAGCUCGGUUUUUUCUUUCUGCAAUUCCAUUAGAUUGAGGUGAAUACGAGAUGGUAUUUUGAUGGAUAAUUCCAUUCUCUACACAUAUUUGCGCAAAGGAAGAUUCAUAUUCUCCGCCCCUAUCACUUUUUAUUGUUUUGAUCUUUUUCCCUAACUGAUUUUCAACUUCAGCUUUAUAUUGCCUAAACGCAUCUAUUGCUCCAUCCUUACUAUUUAGCAAGUAGACAUAACAAUAUCUAGUGCAAUCGUCAAUAAAAUUUAUGAAAUAUUUUUUCCCACCUCAUGAUGGUAUUGACUUCAUAUCACAAAUAUCAGUGUGGAUUAAGUCUAAGGAAUUGAAAUUCCUUUCAACGGACUUAUACGAAUAGCAUACUUCGAUUCCACACAAGUUUGACACUUUAAUUUAUUGCACUCAAAGUUUAGGAAAACUUCUAAGUUAAUCAGUAUACGUAAUAUUUUGUAAUUAACAUGACCUAAUCGUUCAUGCCAUAAAUCAUAAGACUUAAGCACGUAAGAAGAAGAUGAACUUUUAUUGAUUUUAACAUUCAUUAUAUUCAUUUUGAAAAGGCCCUCAUUGAGGUAGCCUUUUUCUACAUACACUUCUCCUUUUGGUAAGUACAAUUUUUUCGAAAAUAAAUACACAUUUGAAUCCGUUCUUGUCUAGAAGUGAAACAAAAAUCAAGUUCUUCCGUAACUCCAGAACAUACAAGACAUUGCUAAGUGUCAAAAUUUUAUCGGAAGUCAUCUUCACACACACUUUUCCUGUUCAUUCUAUUUUUGCAGUAGCUGAGUUUUGCAUGUAGAUAUUUUCUUCUACUUGAGCCGUAGUGAAUAUUGAAAACAAAUCCCUAUUAGCACAAACAUGGCGGGUGGCACCAGAAUCUAUCCACCAUCCAUGAGGAUUUCUCACUAAGUUACAUUCGAAAAGCAUAGCACACAGAUCAUCCAAUUUUUUAGACUCAGCCAGAUUUUCUUGGUCCUUCUUGUUUCCUUUCUUCGGGGUACGACAAUUCGUAGACUUGUGGCCAAUCUUGCGACAAUUGAAGCAUUUUCCCUUGAGUUUCUUCUUGGGUUAAUUGCUUUCAUUUCCAGCUUUCUUUCAUUUUUAGAGUUGUUUUGGUCAUCUUCUAUAAUGUUCGCUCCAUUCAUUGCAGAAUUUCCUCUUGACCUUUUUUUUGGAGCCUUAAUAUCUUCUUCAAUACGCAGUCGUACAAUCAGAUCUUCGACCGACAUCUCCUUACGUUUAUGUUUCAAAUAGUUCUUGAAAUCUUUCCACAUAGGUGGUAGCUUCUUUAUUAUUGCUGCUACUUAAAACACCUCAUUCAUGAUUAGACCUACAAUAAAGGUUAUGUGAAUAUUAAGAACAUUUCUAAAUUAUUCAAUAAAGGUAUUUGUCAAAAUAUUACCUUACGCAAGUAGAUCAUGGAUGAUCACUUGUAGUUCAUGAACUUGGGAAACAAUAGACUUGUUGUCUAUCAUUUUAUACUCCAGGAAUCUAGCAACGAAGAACUUUUUAGUUCCCGCAUCCUCCAUUUUGUACUUCCGUUCUAGUUCUCCCUAUAACUCUUUUGCUGUCUUCGUUCCACUAUACACAUUGUAAAGGUUAUCUUGGAGACCACACAAGAUAUAAUUUCAGCAAAGAAAAUCUGAGUAUUUCCAAGCCUCUACAAUCACGAAGCAUUUUUGUUUAGAGGUUCCCUCGGACAGCUCCGGAGCUUUCUGAAACGUGAACCUUUGAAGACAAAGAGUUGUCAGGUAGAACAAUAUUUUUUCCUGCCAUCUCUUGAAGUCAAUACCCGCAAAUUUUCCGGGUUUCUCUGCUAGUAUCAUAGCUUGUGGAGUAUUAGUACGAUUUGUCGUAGCAAUACUAGUUUCCGCCAUAGUCUUUCCAGCAUCAUGCAUUUGAUUAUCAGUUGUCAUUUUCCUGUCACCACAAGAUAGUACCUUUAGUAUAUCGAAAUACUUAUUAAAAAGUUGCAGCAACUUUAAACACUUCUUAUUUCUAGUUUAACGAUGAAGUUUUUAUGACUUCCAAUAGUCAAUCGAGUGAUCUUUAACUUGUGAUGAAGAUUUUAUUUCUUCAAAUCACUAGUUAAGUUCAAACGGAGUAGAAAGCUUACAACUUUAACCUCAAGAAAACAAGCUACGCAGAUUCCGAAAGAUUACUUCUUAAGAUUGUUAUUUUCAAUAUUUUCAGGUACAUGAAUCUGUAUAUAUGAAACAAUAACUUCAACACAAGUUCAAGUCUAAGACAAGAACACUUAUGAAGUUUCGUAACACCUUCAACACAAGAUUAUGAAUAAUCUAUCCAAUAAGUAUGUUAUAAUUCAGAAAUGAGAUGAAACAGAAUAUUUAAGGCCAAGUCCCCCGACUUUACCAAGUGUCCUUAAGGAAUAAUUUUCCUCACUGUACCCGAGGUUAUGGAAUCUUCCUCCCAGGAUAAAAUGACCUUCAAUCCAAAUAAUAGUGGUACCUCAAAUUGUUGNNNNNNNNNNNNNNNNNNNNNNNNNNNNNNNNNNNNNNNNNNNNNNNNNNNNNNNNNNNAUCAUGUCUAUACCUGAGGAAUAUAUCAGGUCUUUAUAGCCUUUAAUGUGUCCUUUCGAAAAGGAUGCAUUAGUUCAGCAGAAAGGCACCUAUUCAGUAGCAGUCACAUCCCUGCGCCCAGUCUGUGCUGGACUUGUGCCUGAUUUGCGAUGUUUUGCAAAUUUUAGUGGCUUAUGCAUUACAUCUUCGCCCAUAGGUUGCGUACCUGCACUGCGUCUGCGCCCGCAGGUCACCCUACAGUGCGAAACAGUGUGCCUUUUCACUCGAAGGGUCGCAUCCCUUCGUGAUGCGUUUCAUAUGCGUUUGCAUGGAGUCAAAAUUGUGCCCGCACUUGGAGAAAAUAAUUAUUAGAUUUUUGCAUUAAGUUUUUCACUUGUAACAUAAGUUUCAAAUAGAAUUCGUCUAAAAAGAUAGAUCUCAUCGAUUGUUUUUUCGAAUCCAAGCCAAGCAAGUG
RNAcentral lists this long non-coding RNA (6078 nucleotides) under Capsicum annuum. RNAcentral describes it as "long non-coding RNA (CANN_LNC010869)". Lineage: Eukaryota; Viridiplantae; Streptophyta; Magnoliopsida; Solanales; Solanaceae. The record is from RNAcentral.